Molecule: long non-coding RNA, 877 nt
Filed under: Sorghum bicolor (sorghum)
Lineage: Eukaryota; Viridiplantae; Streptophyta; Magnoliopsida; Poales; Poaceae
Description: long non-coding RNA (SBIC_LNC007670)
Source: RNAcentral
GAUUUGUGCAUAGAAGAGAUUUGUGCAUAUUCCCGUUACCAUGAUUUGUGCAUAUUCCAAUUAGCAUGAUGCGUGCACCCUGGACAUGAUUUGUGCAGAUUCUUGUUAGUAUGUACCCAUACAUAAUUCUAAUCCCAGCGGCAGCACGCACCUCGACUGUCUCUUGACGGCGGUACUCGACAUCCAGCCACGGCUGGCCUUCAGCACGUCCUCUCUGCAUGAGGUCACCUCAUCCUGUGCCCAGCGGACAAGCAAAGCAGAGGUAACAUAUCUCAUGAUAAUUACCUGGAAAAUGAUCCAUCCUUGUCUACUGAUAAUUGCCAAUGCACUUUGCAUUGACAACAUUGGCAACCUCAAACGAGUAGGAGUACUCUGAUCUAAAUGGUUCCAUGGUUUUUUUUUUGAAUUGGAGUGUAUUUCAUUACUCUCUUGUCACAGCUCAAUCGCUAUCCUCCAGUGAUUGAGGUACAAUGUCCCAGGUAGUUUGCAUACUGCCGGGCAAUUUACAACCUAGAGAAGCAAAUUCAUGUGCUAGCUUAUUACAAAUACAAGGACAGAAUCUAAAAUAGCAAGAAGAAAAUUCUGUUGCCUUCAGAUGCUUGAUCUCAGUGAUAAUACGGCCCAUGGUUUUAGAUGAACACUAAAUGGUUCCAUGGUUCUAGAUGAAUACUAAAUGGUUCCAUGAUUUUAGAUAUAGGUUCAGGUGGGUGAUGGGUGAUUUCUGAACCUAUAUGUAUGUACAUCUGAAUGGUUGCAUAUUUCUGUAGUAAGUAACUAAUAAAAGUGUAUGAGGUCAUAGUAUGAGUCUCUGACUAAUUAUGCAACGUCUAAUGAUAAAAUUCAUGAAUGCCCUUUUGCAGUUCCUUUUUCUUCAUUC